UGCUGGAGGUAUCAGAAGUGCGAAUGCUGACAUAAGUAACGAUAAAGCGGGUGAAAAACCCGCUCGCCGGAAGAUCAAGGGUUCCUGUCCAACGUUAAUCGGGGCAGGGUGAGUCGACCCCUAAGGCGAGGCUGAAAAGCGUAGUCGAUGGGAAACAGGUUAAUAUUCCUGUACUUGGUGUUACUGCGAAGGGGGGACGGAGAAGGCUAGGUUAUCCGGGCGACGGUUGUCCCGGUUUAAGCGAGUAGGCUGAUGGUUUUGGUAAAUCCGGACUAUCUUAAGGCUGAGACGUGAUGACGAGGUUCUACGGAACUGAAGUAAUUGAUGCCAUGCUUCCAGGAAAAGCCUCUAAGCUCUAGGUAACAUUGAAUCGUACCCCAAACCGACACAGGUGAUCAGGUAGAGAAUACCAAGGCGCUUGAGAGAACUCGGGUGAAGGAACUAGGCAAAAUGGUGCCGUAACUUCGGGAGAAGGCACGCUGGCGCGUAGGUGAAGGGACUUGCUCCCGGAGCUGAAGCCAGUCGAAGAUACCAGCUGGCUGCAACUGUUUAUUAAAAACACAGCACUGUGCAAACACGAAAGUGGACGUAUACGGUGUGACGCCUGCCCGGUGCUGGAAGGUUAAUUGAUGGGGUUAUCCGUAAGGAGAAGCUCUUGAUCGAAGCCCCAGUAAACGGCGGCCGUAACUAUAACGGUCCUAAGGUAGCGAAAUUCCUUGUCGGGUAAGUUCCGACCUGCACGAAUGGCGUAAUGAUGGCCAGGCUGUCUCCACCCGAGACUCAGUGAAAUUGAAAUCGCUGUGAAGAUGCAGUGUACCCGCGGCAAGACGGAAAGACCCCGUGAACCUUUACUAUAGCUUGACACUGAACAUUGAGCCUUGAUGUGUAGGAUAGGUGGGAGGCUUUGAAGUGUGGACGCCAGUCUGCAUGGAGCCAACCUUGAAAUACCACCCUUUAAUGUUUGAUGUUCUAACGUAGACCCGUAAUCCGGGUUGCGGACAGUGUCUGGUGGGUAGUUUGACUGGGGCGGUCUCCUCCCAAAGAGUAACGGAGGAGCACGAAGGUUAGCUAAUCACGGUCGGACAUCGUGAGGUUAGUGCAAAGGCAUAAGCUAGCUUGACUGCGAGAGUGACAGUUCGAGCAGGUGCGAAAGCAGGUCUUAGUGAUCCGGUGGUUCUGAAUGGAAGGGCCAUCGCUCAACGGAUAAAAGGUACUCCGGGGAUAACAGGCUGAUACCGCCCAAGAGUUCAUAUCGACGGCGGUGUUUGGCACCUCGAUGUCGGCUCAUCACAUCCUGGGGCUGAAGUAGGUCCCAAGGGUACGGCUGUUCGCCGUUUAAAGUGGUACGCGAGCUGGGUUUAGAACGUCGUGAGACAGUUCGGUCCCUAUCUGCCGUGGGCGUUGGAGAAUUGAGGGGGGUUGCUCCUAGUACGAGAGGACCGGAGUGAACGCACCACUGGUGUUCGGGUUGUCAUGCCAAUGGCAUUGCCCGGUAGCUAAGUGCGGAAAAGAUAAGUGCUGAAAGCAUCUAAGCACGAAACUUGCCCCAAGAUGAGUUCUCCCUGACCCCUUGAGGGUCCUGAAGGGACGUUGAAGACUACGACGUUGAUAGGCUGGGUGUGUAAGUGCAGCGAUGCAUUGAGCUAACCAGUACUAAUGACCCGUGAGGCUUAACCUUACAACGCCAGAGGCGUUUUG
RNAcentral lists this ribosomal RNA (1698 nucleotides) under Tatumella sp. OPLPL6. RNAcentral describes it as "bacterial LSU rRNA". It matches the Rfam family "Bacterial large subunit ribosomal RNA", at positions 1271 to 2925 of the family's 2925-position model. Lineage: Bacteria; Pseudomonadati; Pseudomonadota; Gammaproteobacteria; Enterobacterales; Erwiniaceae. The record is from RNAcentral.